This 484-nucleotide ribosomal RNA is filed under the name uncultured bacterium. RNAcentral's name for it is "partial 16S ribosomal RNA". It matches the Rfam family "Bacterial small subunit ribosomal RNA", at positions 30 to 507 of the family's 1533-position model. The record is from RNAcentral.
AUUGAACGCUGGCGGCAGGCCUAACACAUGCAAGUCGAGCGGAUGAAGGGAGCUUGCUCCUGGAUUCAGCGGCGGACGGGUGAGUAAUGCCUAGGAAUCUGCCUGGUAGUGGGGGUUAACUUCGGGAAACGGCGGCUAUUCCCCCUUCCUUCCUGAGGAGGAAGGGGGGGGUUUUUCGGACCUCCGCCUUUCGGUUGACCCUAGGUCGGAUUAGCUAGUUGGUGGGGUAAAGGCCUACCAAGGCGACGAUCCGUAACUGGUCUGAGAGGAUGAUCAGUCACACUGGAACUGAGACACGGUCCAGACUCCUACGGGAGGCAGCAGUGGGGAAUAUUGGACAAUGGGCGAAAGCCUGAUCCAGCCAUGCCGCGUGUGUGAAGAAGGUCUUCGGAUUGUAAAGCACUUUAAGUUGGGAGGAAGGGCAGUAAGUUAAUACCUUGCUGUUUUGACGUUACCAACAGAAUAAGCACCGGCUAACUUCGUG